AUUUUGGCCCACUGGACCUCACGGCUUUGUCCCUUGAACCCCUUCUUUAAGGCCCAAAAACACGCUAUCCAGGUUAGAAGGCUUGCCACUUAUAUAGCUCAUCACUUUCUGCUCUCUUUCUGAUAUGGGACUAAAUUCAUUCCUGCCCCCUUGCCAGCAAGCCAUGUCCUACCGAAGGAUCGCUCUCAGCUGGGUGCAGGAUGUUGCAGGCCCACCAGCUUCUGCCUAGUUCAUCCCUGAACCACAUCGUACUGAGGGAGGUCAGCUCUAGUACCAUAUGUAACACCCCUUCCUGGCCCAUAGAUAGUAUUAUCCGCUUUGGUCCACUAGACCUCACGGCUUUGUCCCUUGGAUUCCUUCUUUGAGGCCCAAAAAUGCGCUAUCCAGGUUAGAAGGUUUGCUACUUAUAUAGCCUAUCACUUUCCUCUCUCUUUCCGAUGUGGGACUCGGUUCAUUCCUGUCCCCUCACCAGCGAGCCAUGUCCUCCUAGAGGAUCACUCUCAACUGGGUGCGGGAUGUUACAGAU
Molecule: unclassified non-coding RNA, 526 nt
Filed under: Hevea brasiliensis (rubber tree)
Lineage: Eukaryota; Viridiplantae; Streptophyta; Magnoliopsida; Malpighiales; Euphorbiaceae
Source: RNAcentral